GUUCGGCAGCAAUUCCCUCAAAAUUACUCGCGAGAGCGCGGGAAAAACUAACCGCUUGUUUUUCUUCCCCCUCCCCGGGGGGGCGGAAAAAAUCAGCCCCCGAGCGAUCGCUCUGCCCCACGUCUGCCGGUGCCGCGAAGCCCAGCACAGCGCGGCAGCUCCUCCGCUGCCUCUUCCCGGCAAGGGGACGGAGCACCGGGAGCGGCGGAGAGGGCCGAACGCCGCCUCCCGGGGAACGGCGGGGAGGAAGGGGGGGGAGACGACGGGAACGGCAGCGUCCGAGUCGUUAUUUCGGCGCGGGCGGCUCGCUCGACUUGUUUAAAUGAAAACAGCAAUAACAAGUUCAGGGAAAAAAAAAUAAAAGGAUAAAAAAAAAAAAGAGAGAGAGGGGGAAAAAAAAUUGGCAGCUCCGCGCGUAUUAGUCGGAACGCUGCAGACUUGGCUCCCGCUCACCUCCGCAACAUAAUGUUAAAUGGCAGCAAGACAGUAUAUCAGUCAUUUACAUAUGUUGCUUAUAGACGCCAAACUUAUUAACACAAUAAAACCGCCGCCGCGCAGCCUUCCUGCCUAUUUUUCUCGUCGCGAACGGCAGUGCUGGAAGCACCUAGCCGCCUCGUAUGGAAACACGCUGCGUUCGCCUCUCGCGUGGCGCCGGGGAAAAUAAAUAUAUGAAUCAGCGAGGGUCCCCAGCCGACCACUUCCGAAGCGAGGCGGCGGGGAGCUGGAGCGCUUCGCCACGCCGCCGCCGCUUCCCUGCCUUCCCUGCUUGGACCGAACUGGCCCGGCAGGGAUCGGAGGCCGGCGAAGGGCCGGGGGAGGCGGACAAGCGAGGGGCCGCUUCGCUUUUGGUCCCAGCGCCCAGGAGGGGCUGCACGGCCCCCCCUGCGCCCCCGCUGCUGAGACGGGCCCGGGCAUCCCGAGGGCCUCCGCUCUGUCCCUGCAGCGCCGUGGAGCAGCUCUGCCUCCCUGCUUCAGCCUUCCCGGAUCCCUGCAGCUUCCUGGAUCACUGCAGCUUCCCAAAUCACUGCAGCUUCCUAAAUCAUUGCAGCUUCCCAGAUCACUGCAGCUUCCUAAAUCAUUGCAGCUUCCCAGAUCACUGCAGCUUCCCGAAUCACUGCAGCUUCCUAAAUCAUUGCAGCUUCCUAAAUUGUUGCAGCUUCCUAAAUUGCCGCAGCUUCCUAACCAUUGUAGCUUCCUAAAUCAUUGCAACUUCCUAAACCAUCACCUUCCCAAAUCACUGCAGCUUCCCAAAUCACUGCAGCUUCCCAAAUCUCUGCAGCUUCCCAAAUCACUGCAGCAUCCUGCAUCAUUGCUUCCUGGAUCACUGCAGCCUCCUAAACCACUGCAGCCCCCUAAAUCGCUUCCCAGUUCCUGCAGGGCCGUGGGGAGCCUCCCUGCUCCAUCCCGCCGGGCGCCUUGGCGCUGUGCCGGCAGCCCCUCGGCGAGCGGAGCGCCACCACCGUUUCGGCGCGUCCUCUUCAAGCAACGCGCGUCGGCCCCCGCCGCAGCCCCGCUCGCCCUCACGUGAUUCCCACGCUCGGGAACGGCCUGGCCGAAGCUCGAUGCGUGUCACGGGCCGGCUCCGGGGGGGGGAGCAGCAGUGGCAGGAAGCCGAUUGCUUCCCACGCUGGGGUCUGCAGCCCCUUCUGGGGUAUUUUUAUGGAUCCACCAAGCCAAAAAGGCCCCAAAAGCCACUUUUCCGGAAGGUAGAUACUGGAGGCUUUGGGAUUCCCGGGCCGGGCUCCCCGGAAAUGCAGGAAUCGCUGGCACGGUUCCCGCGGGCGCCUCCUGCGAGCGGGUCACCCGGGCACCAUGUCCCACCUGGGACGCUAACGGCCGAGCUCUCUGAGCCGCCUUGCCAGGACCUGGGGCACCUGCCCCGUCAUCCCAAGGCGCCACGAGCCUCGGAGGCUCCUUCGGGAGUCAGAGCUGCAACCGCCUGCGGGCAGCGGGACGCAAAAUCCUGUCCGCCUCCGCAAGAGCGAAACGUGGCCGCCGGAGCCCAGGUCUACGCAGGGCGCUGGACGGUGACGCCGGCGUGACAGUAAGGCCACGCCGGAGAAGCAAGGGCAGAGGCGGCCCCAGCGGAAAAGCCGGUGUGGCCACGGCAUAGGUGGGUGAGGAGCCAGCAGCAUCUUUCCUGGCCGGACUUGGGUCCCCCCCAGCCCGUGGUCGAGCCGUGUAACCUCUGCGGUUUCC
This 2199-nucleotide long non-coding RNA is filed under the name Apteryx haastii (Great spotted kiwi). RNAcentral's name for it is "lncRNA (ENSAHAG00000005325.1)". Lineage: Eukaryota; Metazoa; Chordata; Aves; Apterygiformes; Apterygidae. The record is from RNAcentral.